RNAcentral lists this long non-coding RNA (991 nucleotides) under Olea europaea subsp. europaea. The record is from RNAcentral. Lineage: Eukaryota; Viridiplantae; Streptophyta; Magnoliopsida; Lamiales; Oleaceae.
AUUUUAAUCAUUUCAUGUUUAGAAAAUAUUAUAUUUUUCAUUGUUAAUGAAAGUAUUAGUUUACGGUACAUGUAUAACGAUUUAUGUUGACCACCGAGCUCCAAUCUCAUACUAUUGCUUGCAGGCCCACCUUGUACGCGUGUGAGUUCGGUUGAAGAAGUUAAGCUCGGCAUAUUACUACCGUAAUCCCCAUGGGACACAAUGAUUACAGAUUCUUAACAUCUUGUCACAUCACCCCUUUAGCCGUAUACAUUUGCGAGAGAUAACAUCAGCACUGUCCAAACCCACCAACCAAUGGCCUCUAUUCUUUUAUUCUUUGCAGAACAUCAUUACCUGAAUGGAAAAUUGGCAUGAUGCAGUAGGCCUCAUCAGCAAAUCAAGAGAGAAAUUGAUGGUUCACCUUCCGAGCUCGGCACUAUAGAUGAUUUAAUUGAUUUGACGGGUUUUCGACUGAAGUCUCCUAUAAAUAGUAAAGACUAGAGGGAGAACAAAAAGGGGGACAGAUUUUCAUAGCGGUGGACGUGAUUUCAUUUGGUUCUAAUAAACCAUAAACCAAUAAUUUUCUUAAUAAUAAAUCAAUGAUUUUCUUAAUAAUAAAACCAAAUGGUUUUUUUAAAGGUAUGGAACCAAACCGAACUGCUCCAUUCAGCUCUGGUUUGGCUUGUUCUGAUUCUAGUUCUAUUACUUAAAUUUUUAAACUUACGCCAUAUACAUAAGUUAGUAAUAUAUAUUCAAAUAAAAAAUAUAAGCAACAAACAUUUAGCAAGUUCAAAUUAUCAAUCAUCAAGAUUUCAAAAGUUCAAACUAACGAACAAAAUAUAAAUAAAUGCUUCUUUGCCAAAAGUUAAUAAUAGCAAGUUUCACCUUCAUCCUCCGUCCAAUCAAUUCAUUUACAUGAAGCCACCAAACCUACAUGCUUCAUUUGAGAGAUAUGCAGGGCAGUGUUUGAGACUCUUGAGGGUUUAAAUUUGAAGUAAUAUUCUUAAUGGGC